RNAcentral lists this ribosomal RNA (253 nucleotides) under uncultured bacterium. Its description in RNAcentral is "partial 16S ribosomal RNA". It matches the Rfam family "Bacterial small subunit ribosomal RNA", at positions 524 to 776 of the family's 1533-position model. The record is from RNAcentral.
UACGUAGGGUGCGAGCGUUAAUCGGAAUUACUGGGCGUAAAGCGUGCGCAGGCGGUGAUGUAAGACAGUUGUGAAAUCCCCGGGCUCAACCUGGGAACUGCAUCUGUGACUGCAUCGCUGGAGUGCGGCAGAGGGGGAUGGAAUUCCGCGUGUAGCAGUGAAAUGCGUAGAUAUGCGGAGGAACACCGAUGGCGAAGGCAGCCUUCUGGGCCAAUACUGACGCUCAUGCACGAAAGCGUGGGGAGCAAACAGG